This 467-nucleotide ribosomal RNA is filed under the name uncultured bacterium. Its description in RNAcentral is "partial 16S ribosomal RNA". It matches the Rfam family "Bacterial small subunit ribosomal RNA", at positions 28 to 507 of the family's 1533-position model. The record is from RNAcentral.
GAUGAACGCUGGCGGCGUGCUUAACACAUGCAAGUCGAACGGUAAAGCAGUGCUUGCUCUGUGUGUCCGUGGCGCACGGGGGAGUAACACAUGAGCAACCUGCCCCUUUGUCUUUGAUAUGCGCUGGAAACGCCGUCUAAUACUGGAUAUUAGCUCCGCCCGCAUAGUGAGCGGUUUGGAAGAUUUUUCGGUUUGGGGUUGGCUCACGGCCUAUCAUCUUGUUGGUUAGGUAAGGGCUCACCAAGGCGUCGACGGGUAAGCGGCCUGAGAGGGUGAACGGCCACACUGGGACUGGGACAAGGCCCAGACUCCUACGGGAGGCAGAAGUGGGGAAUGUUGGACAAUGGGCGAAAGCCUGAUGCAGCAACGCCGCGUGAGGGAAGAACGCCUUCGGGUUGGAAACCUGUUUUAGCAGGGAAGAAGGGAAAGUGACGGUAACUGCAGAAAGAGCGACGGCUAACUACGUG